GAGGCUGUUGGGCGGUGGUUGGAGUUUGAGUUGUGAUGGGGCUGGAGGGGACGGGGGGAUCCUGCUGGCCAGCUAGCCAACCCGCCCGCCCGCCCGGCGGGCCGUGGGGAAAGAACUGAGGCGCCUUAACGGUCCUGAGCCUGACGGGUCUCUGCUGGCGGUGGCCCACUGGGUCAGGGUGCUGGCUGAAGAGAUGAAAGCAAUGGAAGUCUGUUGAUGGCCUAAGCAAGCACUAACAUGACAAGAAGAUGUCCCAAGAGCAUGAAUUCUAGUGUGUUUUGCUGGAAGUUCAGACACUCACAGAAAUAGCUGUAUGUGGUGAAAGCCUCUGAGCACGAGAAGGGUGUGUAGGAAAAACUUAGAAAGUACCAAUUGCCCAGCAGUCCUGCAACUUCCUUCAUAAGGAGCUAUUAGAACCAGCCUGAGACCAGUUGCAGUCUAUGCAAGACUACUCCAUAAGAAACAAAAAACUUAAAAAGGUGGAAUAUUAAGCCUGCAUGUAGUAACACAAGGUGCUUGUAACUAUUGGGGCAGUGUCUGGUAAUGUUUAUGUAGACAAUAAAAUAAAGAUAGAUGUUUCUGUUGUCAGAGUGUCUAUCUUUCUCAAGCUGUAAUAGCAGUUGCUUCUGUUUGACAGUUCUGACUUCCUCUACGUGUUUUUUAGCAUACCAAUUCAUUCCUUUGGACUAAGUGAAACCUAGGAGCAUUAAGUGGAUGGGAGGUGAUCACUGAAACAAUGGUCUUCCAUAGUACUCAGAGAUUGAGUUAGCUGAGAUUUGUUAUUGUGGUGAGGAAAAGUAGAAAUUAAAAUUCAGCAAACCUGGGUUUAAAAAUAGCAGCAAGGGUAUUUCUCCAACAUGGAAAAUGGCAAGCUUGGUUUAUUACCUUGAUCAGCUGCACAAUACAGUAUUUCAACUAAAUUUGGAGUGAAAUACUGUAGGGAUAACAACUGGAAUUCCUGCUUGUUUUUUCAGGAAGACUUAUCAUAAAUUCAUUUUAUCAGAAGAACAAAUGCUGAAAUUAUGUAUUUUGCAAUGUCUGAUUUUUCAGUACUGCGUGUAAGCAAAUUAUUAAUGCAAAGUCUAAGCAUAAGUUAGUUUUUGGUUUGUCAAGAGGGAAGGAGGUUUAGACAAGAGUAAUUAAUUUUUAGUGAUCCAACAUGUAAUUAUUGGAUGCACUUGAAAGCUUAGGGCUUCUGUUAGGGAUUAUAUUCCCUGAAGAUACCAUCUGUUUACGAGUUUUGCUCGUGCGUCUUUGUUCCUGAAGUGCAAGGCUGGCAGUAGCAGCUUUUAAGACUUUUUUCUUCUUCAACUCUUGAGAGCAACAGCUAAUGCCAAGUUUUAAUGAUGGCCAUCUAAAAUGUUAAUUCCCUUUCAACAAGAAAAACUAUAGAAUCUUAAGCUUCAGUGUGUAGUACCUGUUUCAUGGUGUGGUGGAACAAAGAAAAAGUGAGGUAGAGGGAGGAAUAGGUGGGUAUAAGGGGCACUGAUUACUAAAAUAAUGUAAACAUUUAGUGCUAAACAUUAGGACUGCCUUUUAAUUUUUGAAUGGCUAACUGGACUGUACCCUUGAAAAAAACUUCGACUCCUUCAUGCUUUUUUUUUUUUUCCCUUCCUCUGCUUUACAUGAACACAAUGUCUGACUGUUGAAGUUGAUAGUAUGAAAAAUUGGAAAGGAGGACAGAUUCUGAGGUGGUCUAGGGGAGCAAGAGAACAAAGGUCUGUGCACUAGGUCGGUGUUCCACAAGCCCUCCUUUCUAUUACUUGCCUCCAGCGCUCUGUGGAAGAGGGCUUUUGGUAUUAAAGGCUGCAAAGCAGAACUCAAGAGGUGCACAAAGAAAGAAAACUGGCUUGUUCCAAACUGCUCUUUAACCUUUUAGCACACUGCAUCUGAGUUGACUAAUGCUAGCUCUUUGAAAUGAAACAGUCUGUAUCAGUGGGUGACCUGUGGGGGCAUUCUUUAGUGUAAAACUGUUACUGCUUUUGCCUAGCAAAGGGGCUUAUUUGUAGUAAAUGUAAUGGUAGUAUUUUAUGAAGAAUGACAAGUACAUUCUGAUAUCCUUAUUGAAGAAAUAACAGCAUAGUCCUAGCUAUUUUUUAGAUCUUAACUUUACGUGGUGAGUAAGGUGUAUCAGUUAACUUGUGACCAGCUGGGAGGGCAGUGGUUUUCUUCACUCUUGUACUGGGUCUGGCCGAGAUGGAGGUAAUUUUCCCCAUAGCAGCCCUCAUAGUGCUGUGCUGUUAUUACAAUGAUUGUCUUCUGGAGUAACUGCUACAUGUACUGAAGCCCUGCUUCCCAGGAAGUGGCUGGACAUCAUCUGCUGAUGGGAAGUAGAGAAUAAAUCUCUUGUUUUCCUUUGCUUCUGCAUACAGCCAUUGCUUUAUUAAACUGCCUUUAUCUUGACCCACGAGGUUUUUUUUUCCAUCUUAUUUUCUCCCCUCUGUGAUAGAGCGGCUUGGUGGGCACCUGGCAGCCAUCCAGGGUCAACCCACCACAACUCUUAUCAAACAAUUCUUAUCAAGGAAGCAAAUACAGGAGAGAAAUUAGAGAGAGACACACUGGCUCUGCAUCUGUAUGUUUGGUUUGACAGCUUAUGUAGUUUGCUGUUGCUUUUGGUGAUUUUUUUACAUAAGAAAGGAAACUAGUACAGGUAUGUACUGGAAGUAUAAAACUUUAUGCUGACAACUUUCUGCUACCAGGAAAAAUACUUAAUCUAGAGAAGCUGUAUCCUCAAGUGGAUUUUAAUUGGUACUACACCUGUUUUUACCAGAUGGUGUUGUCAAAUGAAUCUGUGUUUCUGAAGGCUUUGCUGCUUUGUGUCACAUAAAUAAGACACACAGGCAACCAUGGAAUGCCCUAAAAAUUCAAGUUUUACUUGACUUUUAAAUAUCCUGGAGACAAGUAUUGACACAGCCAUCUAUCAAACUCAUUUGAAAAUAAAGCACACAGUUGCGUCAUGAUUACUUAAUGUACAUAGAACAUACACAUCACACUGAUAUAUUUAUGUAUGUUGUUUUCAACCAUCUUCCUAGGGAGCUUUGAAUUAAACAGGCUUUCCCAAAAGAAAA
Grus americana (Whooping crane) is the source of this 3068-nucleotide long non-coding RNA. RefSeq lists it as uncharacterized. Lineage: Eukaryota; Metazoa; Chordata; Aves; Gruiformes; Gruidae. The transcript is spliced from 4 exons. The record is from RefSeq and is a predicted model, not a curated record.